RNAcentral lists this non-coding RNA (32 nucleotides) under Homo sapiens (human). Lineage: Eukaryota; Metazoa; Chordata; Mammalia; Primates; Hominidae. The record is from RNAcentral.
UUGUCUUGGUGACUCCAAAUAUGGGAAAUGUC